CUGAGAUCUAGAGGUAAUGUGAAAAGAAGAGAGAGUUAAAGUGAAUGUACAAGAGAGGACAGAAAAGCAGGAGUAAGAAAGAUGAGAUGUGAGAAAUACAUACAUAGAAAUGCGGUCCAGUUCUGAGAAGCACUGGAUUCAUUCGGCUACACCAGCACCUGUUUGGGGCUUAAGCUGCCCCUUUUCAGUUGACUAUGCAGAAAGCAUUCCUCAGAGUUCGAGCAUGGUGCAGGCUGUACUAUUUCACUCACAGCUGAUAAUUUCCCUAGAGGCAGGUGAGAUGCAGGAAGACAAAACCAAGGACUCACAAGAAAAAUUGCAUUAGUGGAGAAGUGGAGAGUACAGGGGGACUGAGUAGGCGAAGCUGGCCAGUAAUAUAAUAAUUCAAAGACCACAGGUAAAAACAGUCCCCUGGGAUGGGGCAGUUUGUCAAGCACUCAGUCAAGGAAGGAAAACAAGAAGCCAAAAAUUGUGGUGAAAUUGUUUUCCUGAAAGAGGAGCUGCUAUAAAUAGAGAUAUAAAUAGGGAUAGAAAGAACAGAAAAACAUCACAGCAAGCCUGCAUUCAGAAUGAGAUGCAGAUUCGAGCUCCUUCAUUCAGAAUGAGAUGCAGAUUCGAGCUCCAAGAAGGAAGAUCUUAGAUACGACUCUCCCAGGUGGGACGCACUCUCACUUGAGACUUGUUUCCAGGUGAUGGACAUGGGAAAGGUGAUGGCGUGUCACUCCCAGAUUUGCUUUAUGUUAUAUUAGACUCCAUUUCAGCAGACUGGGUCAUGAAACACUCUUUGCUGGCUUGAUAAAGAGGAUGGCCAUAUUGAUGAAGUCCAUGUGGCCAGGAAUGAUGGCUGACCCCUGGAAGAUGUGAGGAAGCUCAGGACCUGAGGUCAGUCCUUAGCCUGCAGCCAGUAGAAGGUGGUGCACUUGGUCAUACGGCCACAAGAAAAUGAAUUCUGCCAACAACCUGAAUGGGCUUGGAAGUGAACUCUUCCCCAGUCAAGCUCCAGAGGAGAAUGCAGCCCAGCCGACACCCUGACUUCAGUUUUGUGAGACCCCAAGAAGAGGACUCAGUUCAGCCCAAUGUCCAAAUUCCUAACCCAUGGAAACUGUGAGAUAAUAAAUAUGUGUUGUCUUAA
Molecule: long non-coding RNA, 1132 nt
Organism: Bubalus bubalis (water buffalo)
Lineage: Eukaryota; Metazoa; Chordata; Mammalia; Artiodactyla; Bovidae
Exons: 2
Source: RefSeq, a predicted model, not a curated record